Long non-coding RNA from Alosa sapidissima (American shad), 144 nucleotides. RefSeq lists it as uncharacterized. The transcript is spliced from 3 exons. The record is from RefSeq and is a predicted model, not a curated record. Lineage: Eukaryota; Metazoa; Chordata; Actinopteri; Clupeiformes; Clupeidae.
CAGUUGAAGCCUCAAGCCCAAGCCUAUUGCACUGGCAAACUCCACCAUGUCGCAGAGUGCCAGGCAGCCGAGUCACUACCCCUCAACCUGGAGAAAACUGUUAAGCACCUCACCAUGGGGCAGGACCGCAACACUCUUCACCAC